ACUUUUAACAAUGGAUCUCUAGGCUCUCAUAUCGAUGAAGAACACAGUGAAAUGUGAUAAUUAAUGUGAAUUGCAGAAUUCAGUGAAUCAUCAAGUUUUUGAACGCACCUUGCACCUUUUGGUAUUCCAAAAGGUACACCUGUUUGAGUGUCAU
RNAcentral lists this ribosomal RNA (154 nucleotides) under Phakopsora pachyrhizi. Its description in RNAcentral is "5.8S ribosomal RNA". It matches the Rfam family "5.8S ribosomal RNA". From Rfam's summary of the family: 5.8S ribosomal RNA (5.8S rRNA) is a component of the large subunit of the eukaryotic ribosome. It is transcribed by RNA polymerase I as part of the 45S precursor that also contains 18S and 28S rRNA. Lineage: Eukaryota; Fungi; Basidiomycota; Pucciniomycetes; Pucciniales; Phakopsoraceae. The record is from RNAcentral.